CCCCAUAGUAGAGAAUAGCCCGGCGAAAGUCCGGAUUAAUACUCUAUGUUGUGUCAUGAGGACAUCUGAAUAACACUAAAGAUUCAUCGCUAUGGGAUGGGGAUGCGUCUGAUUAGCUUGUUGGCGGGGUAACGGCCCGACCAAGGCGACGAUCAGUAGGGGUUCUGAGAGGAAGGUCCCCCACAUUGGUACUGAGACACGGACCAAACUCCUACGGGAGGCAGCAGUGAGGAAUAUUGGUCAAUGGGCGGGAGCCUGAACCAGGCCAAGUAGCGUGCAGGAACUGACUGCCCUAUGGGUUGUAAACUGCUUUUAUGCGGGAAUAAAGUCAGGUACGUGUACCUGUUUGUAUGUACCGCAUGAAUAACGGACCGGCUAAUUCCGUGCCAGCCGCUGC
This 397-nucleotide ribosomal RNA is filed under the name uncultured bacterium. Its description in RNAcentral is "bacterial SSU rRNA". It matches the Rfam family "Bacterial small subunit ribosomal RNA", at positions 129 to 518 of the family's 1533-position model. The record is from RNAcentral.